UGGUGGGUAGUUUGACUGGGGCGGUCUCCUCCCAAAGAGUAACGGAGGAGCACGAAGGUUAGCUAAUCCUGGUCGGACAUCAGGAGGUUAGUGCAAUGGCAUAAGCUAGCUUGACUGCGAGAGUGACGGCUCGAGCAGGUGCGAAAGCAGGUCAUAGUGAUCCGGUGGUUCUGAAUGGAAGGGCCAUCGCUCAACGGAUAAAAGGUACUCCGGGGAUAACAGGCUGAUACCGCCCAAGAGUUCAUAUCGACGGCGGUGUUUGGCACCUCGAUGUCGGCUCAUCACAUCCUGGGGCUGAAGUAGGUCCCAAGGGUAUGGCUGUUCGCCAUUUAAAGUGGUACGCGAGCUGGGUUUAGAACGUCGUGAGACAGUUCGGUCCCUAUCUGC
Molecule: ribosomal RNA, 387 nt
Filed under: Enterobacter kobei
Lineage: Bacteria; Pseudomonadati; Pseudomonadota; Gammaproteobacteria; Enterobacterales; Enterobacteriaceae
Description: partial 23S ribosomal RNA
Rfam family: Bacterial large subunit ribosomal RNA
Source: RNAcentral